This 253-nucleotide ribosomal RNA is filed under the name uncultured bacterium. RNAcentral describes it as "partial 16S ribosomal RNA". It matches the Rfam family "Bacterial small subunit ribosomal RNA", at positions 524 to 776 of the family's 1533-position model. The record is from RNAcentral.
UACAGAGGUGGCAAGCGUUGUUCGGAAUUACUGGGCGUAAAGGGCGCGUAGGCGGUCUUGUCAGUCCCUUGUGAAAUCCCCCGGCUCAACUGGGGAACUGCACGGGAAACAGCAGGGCUUGAGUUCGGGAGAGGGAAGCGGAAUUCCGGGUGUAGCGGUGAAAUGCGUAGAUAUCCGGAGGAAGACCGGUGGCGAAGGCGGUCUGCUGGGCAGUUUCUGACACUGAGGCGCGACAGCGUGGGGAGCAAACAGG